RNAcentral lists this ribosomal RNA (402 nucleotides) under uncultured bacterium. RNAcentral describes it as "bacterial SSU rRNA". It matches the Rfam family "Bacterial small subunit ribosomal RNA", at positions 355 to 774 of the family's 1533-position model. The record is from RNAcentral.
UCGGGAAUUUUGGGCAAUGGGCGAAAGCCUGACCCAGCAACGCCGCGUGAGGGAUGAAGUAUUUCGGUAUGUAAACCUCGAAAGAAUGGGAAGAAUAAAUGACGGUACCAUUUAUAAGCUCCGGCUAACUACGUGCCAGCAGCCGCGGUAAUACGUAGGGAGCAAGCGUUGUUCGGAUUUACUGGGCGUAAAGGGCGCGUAGGCGGCGCGGUAAGUCACUUGUGAAAUCUCUGAGCUUAACUCAGAACGGCCAAGUGAUACUGCUGUGCUAGAGUGCGGAAGAGGCAACCGGAAUUCUUGGUGGAGCGGUGAAAUGCGUAGAUAUCAAGAGGAACACCUGAGGCGAAGGCGGGUUGCUGGGCCGACACUGACGCUGAUGCGCGAAAGCCAGGGGAGCAAACG